UUUUUCUUACCGUUAAGUACAAGUAGCACAACUUAUAAUGAACCUUGUGUUUUAUUUGCAAGCAUUUCUGUUCGGCAAAAUAAUUGUAUCCGCACCAAACCAAAUAAAAACUAAAAAAAACUCGAAAAUAUAGCUCGAAACUUUUUCAGAUUGUUUUGAUCGUUUGAAUACUAUAAUGUCAUUAUACGUGAUUCUUGAAUAAAAAGUAUUUCUUAACAAUUGUAUUCAACCGAUUUACAUUAAAUAAAAAAAACCGAAUUCGUUUAUGCCGUAAACUUUUCCGCUUUUCUCGGCCCUCCA
Cinara cedri is the source of this 300-nucleotide non-coding RNA. Lineage: Eukaryota; Metazoa; Arthropoda; Insecta; Hemiptera; Aphididae. The record is from the annotation of a GenBank genome assembly.